This 274-nucleotide ribosomal RNA is filed under the name uncultured bacterium. RNAcentral describes it as "partial 16S ribosomal RNA". It matches the Rfam family "Bacterial small subunit ribosomal RNA", at positions 523 to 796 of the family's 1533-position model. The record is from RNAcentral.
AUACGGAGGGUGCAAGCGUUACUCGGAAUCACUGGGCGUAAAGCGCGCGCAGGCGGCCAUUUAAGUUGGAUGUGAAAGCCUACGGCUCAACCGUAGAACUGCAUCCAAAACUAUUUGGCUAGAGUGUGUGAGAGGAAGAUGGAAUUAGUUGUGUAGGGGUAAAAUCCGUAGAGAUAACUAGGAAUACCAAAAGCGAGGGCAAUCUUCUGGAACAUUACUGACGCUGAGGCGCGAAAGCGUGGGGAGCAAACAGAAUUAGAUACCCUAGUAGUCC